GACGAACGCUGGCGGCGUGCUUAACACAUGCAAGUCGAGCGGUAAGGCCCUUUCGGGGGUACACGAGCGGCGAACGGGUGAGUAACACGUGGGUGACCUGCCCUUAGCUCUGGGAUAAGCCUGGGAAACUGGGUCUAAUACCGGAUAUGACUCCAUGACGCAUGUUGUGGGGUGGAAAGCCUUGUGCGGCUAGGGAUGGGCCCGCGGCCUAUCAGCUUGUUGGUGGGGUGAUGGCCUACCAAGGCGACGACGGGUAGCCGGCCUGAGAGGGCGACCGGCCACACUGGGACUGAGACACGGCCCAGACUCCUACGGGA
RNAcentral lists this ribosomal RNA (317 nucleotides) under uncultured bacterium. RNAcentral's name for it is "bacterial SSU rRNA". It matches the Rfam family "Bacterial small subunit ribosomal RNA", at positions 28 to 346 of the family's 1533-position model. The record is from RNAcentral.